Molecule: ribosomal RNA, 495 nt
Filed under: uncultured bacterium
Lineage: Bacteria
Description: partial 16S ribosomal RNA
Rfam family: Bacterial small subunit ribosomal RNA
Source: RNAcentral
GAUGAACGCUGGCGGCGUGCCUAAUACAUGCAAGUCGAGCGAACGGACGAGAAGCUUGCUUUUCUGAUGUUAGCGGCGGACGGGUGAGUAACACGUGGAUAACCUACCUAUAAGACUGGGAUAGCUUCGGGAAACCGGAGCUAAUACCGGAUAAUAUUUUGAACCGCAUGGUUCAAAAGUGAAAGACGGUCUUGCUGUCAUUAUAGAUGGAUCCGCGCUGCAUUAGCUAGUUGGUAAGGUAACGGCUUACCAAGGCAACGAUGCAUAGCCGACCUGAGAGGGUGAUCGGCCACACUGGAACUGAGACACGGUCCAGACUCCUACGGGAGGCAGCAGUAGGGAAUCUUCCGCAAUGGGCGAAAGCCUGACGGAGCAACGCCGCGUGAGUGAUGAAGGUCUUCGGAUCGUAAAACUCUGUUAUUAGGGAAGAACAUAUGUGUAAGUAACUGUGCACAUCUUGACGGUACCUAAUCAGAAAGCCACGGCUAACUACGU